CUAUGCACAAAUCAAGACGGUGUUGGCGCAAAGGCAAAAUCUAUGUUCCCCAUCUCAAUCUAGGAAAAUGGAUGCUGAGUUUGAUUCCACUGAUAGUGAGUCUGCAUUUUGCUACUAUGAUGCACAUAGCACGGAAGGUUGGGACAUGAAUUUCAAAUGCGGUGGGCAAGCGCGGCCAUGACAACCGUCCUCGGUGGCAGCCUGUCAUCCUCAAUGGUGGCAGUUCCCGGAGUCCUCAACGGAGGCAGUUCCAGCUCAGACCUCGACGGCAGCGCCCGUAGACCUCAAGCGGAUCCUGCCGCUCACCCCGCACGGUGCUGUGCUCCACGACAAGCCGACGCGCCGCUCUGUGCCUUCUGCCAUGUGCGGUCCUGAUCUGACCGCCACGGGCCCCGCGUGGCAAUCAGGCCUCGCUGGCGCGCGGAUCCGGCCGUUGCCUUCCCUGCUGUGCGCCACUCCCCGCCGGUCGCUGCAUCCCCCUACAGAGUCGUAAGCCCCCGCUUCCCCUGGACCUCUCCCUUCUGGUGGCCGCGCCGGCGACCAGAGAGCACGACUGCGCCUCCCCUUGUCUCCCGCUGGCGGUCGCACUCCUUCCAGGCUCCGGCUUCCGGCGCACGCCGCUGCGGGCCGGUUCGGCGAAGAGCGGGCCGACGAGAGCGCCUGGGAGGGUGUCGCGGAGGCAGUUCGGGAGGGACCGGGCUUGCCUGCUCCCCGAGAAUGCUCCCAUCCGUGCUCCGCGCUCAUCCAACGCCCCCCGCUGCUGCCCUCCUUUUUUCUUAAAAACCCAGCAAUUAAACAAAACCGGCCGCUCCGUCUCUUAACCAAACCCAGCAAAAGACCAGCCGCUCGUUUCCUCUCUUAUCUACUCACUUUCCCCACAGUCAAAGCAGUAGCUUCUCAACCGCGGGGAGACAUCUCGACGGCGACCUCGAUUUGCUAGCAUGUCCGAGCAGGAGGGUCCUGGACAUCCCUGCAAGCUGGCUCAUCCAGCUGGUUGUCUUCCUCGGCGAGCGCGCCAUCUCCAUGGUCCUUCGGGCGCGGCGCUCGUCAGCGAACUGCUCACCAUCCCUGCGGCCAUGGCGUCCCUCGCCCAGCACGGCGCUCGUAGGCGAGCUACGCGCUGUCCCUGAGGCCGCAGCUUCCGUCGCCCGGCGAGGCGCUCGUGGGCGAGCUGUGGGCCCUCCCUCCUCGGCGGUCACCUUCGUGGCCCAGUUUGCCGCGUUUGCCGCGUCCCUGAGCUUCGUCCCACACGUACAAUAGCACAGCUGACAAGGCUUGCUGUGGUACAAGAUUAAGUUGGCUUCUGUUGUUGGAAGAAGACUUGAUUUCGGCCUGUCAUCGUGCCUACGGAUGGUUGCAGUGAGGCAUUUGAGGCUGGGCGCCCUAUCUUCAUACCAAUGGGUGAUUGAAGUGAGGCAUUUGAGGUUGGGUGUCCUGUCAUCGUGCCAGUGGGUGGUUGUACUAAGACAUUGUGGGCUGGGUGUCCAGUCAUCGUACCAACGGAUGGCUGCAUUGAGGCUGGGUGUCCUGUCAUCGUACCAAUGGAUGGCUGCACUGAGGCAUUUGGAGCUGGGUGUCCUCUCAUCGUAAGAACAGACGGCAAUAGUAAGGCAUCUGGAGCUGAGUUGCAUUGUUCUGAAUAGGUAUACAUGUGAUUUGUCGGAACUCCCAAAUGACCCUGUGUGUAGUAGUGGUAAAGGUCAACGUACAUACAACUUUAAGAUGAUAAGAUUAAAAUAUGAGUGUAGGUAGCUUAUACCAUUAAGCUAUUGUAAUGUUGCAAUCCAGCCGACAAUCUUUGGUCUUGCCCAUACAUCGCCAUAGGAUUUAGGAUUGGGUUGUACAGUGGUAGAUAUGCAGGCAUUUCAUUUGUAAAAACCUCCAACCGACCCUACAAAAAAGAUGAGAUAAAUGUUGUAUAACUUCAGUUUUAUAACUGAAUUUCUCCUCUCUUUUAUCUUCAGCAUGGACUCCUAUUAGUUGAAAUUAUUUUAUUAGUCCCAUCUAAAAAUCGAUAUGACCAGAACAAGUUACAACUAGUCCAUACCUUGACGAGAACAUGUGAAUGUCCGUUGUUGUAUCGUACUGGAUUUUUUCACUUUAUGAUGAUUGCCUCUUCGGAUGCUAAAACCCAAGGAAUAAGCAUACUUGUUAUAGAAGGAAUAUGCUUCUUCUUUAGAUAAAAACUGCAUGCCAAUCUUUGGCACCCUUUUUUCAAUCUGCUCUGUUGCAUUGCUAGCUGUAGUUUCUUCGACCCCCUGUUUAAAUUAGUACUCACUUUAGCAAUUGGUUCAAAUACAAGGAAAAGGAAAAGAAAACAUAUAUGUGUUGUAAAUCAGCAAUAACCUUGCUAUGACUAUUUAUUUCGAUGUCACAGUGGAAUAGAAAGGAGUGGAAUUUGUGUUGUUUUCCCAUUCUAAACAAGGUGGUUAAUAAUUUCAAUCUUCUGAGUACGCAUUCUCAACUAAUCAGAGGUAUGUCUUUCCCCCUCGAACCAUUACAUUUCUCUUAUAUGUCCAGCAUCCGUUUUUCAUUUAUAUAUAUGUACCAUCAGUAAUACAACUUUGUAUUGUGCGAUCUGUGCAAGACAUGUUAGCUGGAUAUUGCGCACUAGGAGUAAGAAAUAUACGCAUCUGCUAUCUAGUUUCAUUUUGCUACGUGGUCCCAGUGACAGCAAUCACAAAAACCUGAAAGUCAUAGAUCUGUUUCAUUGCAGGAUUGGGAGAAGACAGUUGGGUCAGAGAAAAAGGAAGAACGCAAUGGAAACAAGAUGGCUUACAUUUGGGGGAUCUAAUUCCUCAUUGGUUCCGGCAAGAAUUGGUGAAGAAGCCAUCAAGUUCCUCCAGCAAUUCCCUUUGUUGGAUCUGUGUUCGUAGAUAGAUUUGAUGAAGAAGCGUAUAGUUUGGUUUGUUUCGUACUCUGUGUACGGGAAAAGUUCUCCGCCAAUGCUUUUGGCGGGCAAGACAUAUUUAUUUCUCUCCAAAUCUAUGUUCUGUUGCGUUAA
This is a long non-coding RNA of Aegilops tauschii subsp. strangulata, 3004 nucleotides long. RefSeq lists it as uncharacterized. Lineage: Eukaryota; Viridiplantae; Streptophyta; Magnoliopsida; Poales; Poaceae. The record is from RefSeq and is a predicted model, not a curated record.